RNAcentral lists this long non-coding RNA (367 nucleotides) under Vigna radiata. RNAcentral's name for it is "long non-coding RNA (VRAD_LNC004734)". The record is from RNAcentral. Lineage: Eukaryota; Viridiplantae; Streptophyta; Magnoliopsida; Fabales; Fabaceae.
AUAUUUUACAUACUAAUCACGUCUGACUUCAUCAAAUGUCGUUCAAAUUAUAUUUUAUCAUACAUUAAAUUCAUGUAGCAUUGAUCGAGGUCGUACCUGAAUCAAAGUAAUUUGCAAUUAAGUGCAAUAUAAUAGUAGGAAGUGACUCUUAGGUCGUCUCUUAAAGACUAACAUUUGGUUUAGUCAUUAGAUCAAACACUUGGUGGGGGAGGGGGAUUUUGUGAAUAGAAUGUUGAACCCAAAUAAUAAAACACGAAUUUAAACACAGAUUAAAACAGGUUGGCAUCUACAUCAAUUACAAUGCUUCCCAUCUUAGAUUAACAAUAAUUAAACACUACUCUCACCCCUAAUCAAACACGAAUUAACU